UAGCACUAUACGGUGAACUGCGAAUGGCUCAUUAAAUCAGUUAUCGUUUAUUUGAUAGUACCUUACUACAUGGAUAACCGUGGUAAUUCUAGAGCUAAUACAUGCUAAAAACCUCGACUUCGGAAGGGGUGUAUUUAUUAGAUAAAAAACCAAUGCCCUUCGGGGCUCCUUGGUGAAUCAUAAUAACUUAACGAAUCGCAUGGCCUUGCGCCGGCGAUGGUUCAUUCAAAUUUCUGCCCUAUCAACUUUCGAUGGUAGGAUAGUGGCCUACCAUGGUAUCAACGGGUAACGGGGAAUUAGGGUUCGACUCCGGAGAGGGAGCCUGAGAAACGGCUACCACAUCCAAGGAAGGCAGCAGGCGCGCAAAUUACCCAAUCCCGACACGGGGAGGUAGUGACAAUAAAUACUGAUACAGGGCUCUUUUGGGUCUUGUAAUUGGAAUGAGUACAAUUUAAAUCCCUUAACGAGGAACAAUUGGAGGGCAAGUCUGGUGCCAGCAGCCGCGGUAAUUCCAGCUCCAAUAGCGUAUAUUAAAGUUGUUGCAGUUAAAAAGCUCGUAGUUGAACCUUGGGCCUGGCUGGCCGGUCCGCCUCACCGCGUGUACUGGUCCGGCCGGGCCUUUCCUUCUGGGGAACCUCAUGCCCUUCACUGGGCGUGUUGGGGAACCAGGACUUUUACUUUGAAAAAAUUAGAGUGUUCAAAGCAGGCCUUUGCUCGAAUACAUUAGCAUGGAAUAAUAGAAUAGGACGUGUGGUUCUAUUUUGUUGGUUUCUAGGACCGCCGUAAUGAUUAAUAGGGAUAGUCGGGGGCAUCAGUAUUCAAUCGUCAGAGGUGAAAUUCUUGGAUUGAUUGAAGACUAACUACUGCGAAAGCAUUUGCCAAGGAUGUUUUCAUUAAUUCAGUGAACGAAAGUUAGGGGAUCGAAGACGAUCAGAUACCGUC
RNAcentral lists this ribosomal RNA (942 nucleotides) under fungal sp. NIOCC F58. Its description in RNAcentral is "SSU rRNA". It matches the Rfam family "Eukaryotic small subunit ribosomal RNA", at positions 66 to 1019 of the family's 1831-position model. Lineage: Eukaryota; Fungi. The record is from RNAcentral.